RNAcentral lists this small RNA (499 nucleotides) under Pongo abelii (Sumatran orangutan). RNAcentral's name for it is "retained intron". Lineage: Eukaryota; Metazoa; Chordata; Mammalia; Primates; Hominidae. The record is from RNAcentral.
UCUUCCCUGGCCUUGCGCUCGCUCUUCCUGCCCUGUAGCCGUGGGCGUCCAAAUGAAGCUGGAAUUCCUCCAGCGCAAAUUCUGGGCGGCAACGCGGCAGGAUCUGAACUGCUUCGUCAUUGACAACAACGGGUUCAUUCUGAUCUCCAAGAGGUCCCAAGAGAGUGACCAUGUAUGACUAUCAGGCCAUGUGCAAACCCUCGAGUCACCACCACAGCGCAGCCCAGCCCCUGGUCAGCCCAAUUUCUGCCUUCUUGACGGCGACCAGGUGGCUGCUGCAGGAGCUGGUGCUGUGAGUGGGGGUAGACAUGGGGCUGGUGGAGGGCUGCAUGCGAGGGUAGCUUAGGAGGGUGUCCUUGAGCAGGAGGCUGCAAGGUCUCCAGGACAACCCACUUGCUACCAGACCCCGGGGAAGGAGGGCACAAUCCCUGGGCAUGGACACCACCUCUUCCCUGAAUGCUGCCCCUGGGAGGGACCUCAUUGCUCACACCAGAGCCCU